CCCUUAGAUGUUCUGGGCCGCACGCGCGCUACACUGAUGCAUUCAACGAGUUUCUUCCUGGUCCGAGAGGAAUGGGUAACCUUUUGAAAGUGCAUCGUGAUAGGGAUAGACUAUUGCAAUUAUUGGUCUUCAACGAGGAAUUCCUAGUAGACGUAGUUCAUCAGACUGCAUCGAUUACGUCCCUGCCCUUUGUACACACCGCCCGUCGCUCCUACCGAUUGAAUGAUCCGAUGAAUAUCAUGGACUGAGAGUGUUAGAGUUUUCGGACUUCUACACUUCUCGGGAAGUGAAGUGAAUCUUAUCAUUUAGAGGAAGGAGAAGUCGUAACA
Molecule: ribosomal RNA, 329 nt
Filed under: uncultured eukaryote
Lineage: Eukaryota
Description: partial 18S ribosomal RNA
Rfam family: Eukaryotic small subunit ribosomal RNA
Source: RNAcentral